This 433-nucleotide ribosomal RNA is filed under the name uncultured bacterium. RNAcentral describes it as "partial 16S ribosomal RNA". It matches the Rfam family "Bacterial small subunit ribosomal RNA", at positions 29 to 507 of the family's 1533-position model. The record is from RNAcentral.
AACGAACGCUGGCGGCAUGCCUAACACAUGCAAGUCGAACGGCACCUCCGUGACUAGUUGCUCUCGGGUGCGUAGCGCGUGGGAACCUGCCCUUAGGUUCCGAAUAACUCCCUUUAGGGGGUGCUAAUGCCGGAUAAUGUCCUCGGACCAAAGAUUUAUCGCCUUUGGAUGGGCCCGCGUUGGAUUAACCAGUUGGUAGGGUAAGAGCCUACCAAGGCGUGGAUCCAUAGCUGGUCUGAGAGGAUGAGCCGCCACACUGGGGAUCAGACCCGGCCCAGAAUCCUACGCGAGGGAGGCGAGGGUAAUACAGGACAACGGGGUAAAGGCUGAUCCAGCACUGCCGGGUAAGUCAUGAAGGCGGUAGGGUUGUAAAGCUCUUUUACCCGGGAUGAUAAUGACGGUACCGCGAGAAUAAGCACCGGCUAACUCCGUG